GGGGCUGUGGCUCAGUGGGAGAGCACCUGAUUUGCAUGCAGAAGGUCUCAGGUUCAGUCCCCAGCAUCUCCG
RNAcentral lists this transfer RNA (72 nucleotides) under Sphaerodactylus townsendi. RNAcentral's name for it is "tRNA-Ala". It matches the Rfam family "tRNA". Rfam says of the family: Transfer RNA (tRNA) molecules are approximately 80 nucleotides in length. Their secondary structure includes four short double-helical elements and three loops (D, anti-codon, and T loops). Further hydrogen bonds mediate the characteristic L-shaped molecular structure. tRNAs have two regions of fundamental functional importance: the anti-codon, which is responsible for specific mRNA codon recognition, and the 3' end, to which the tRNAs corresponding amino acid is attached (by aminoacyl-tRNA synthetases). tRNAs cope with the degeneracy of the genetic code in two manners: having more than one tRNA (with a specific anti-codon) for a particular amino acid; and 'wobble' base-pairing, i.e. permitting non-standard base-pairing at the 3rd anti-codon position. The record is from RNAcentral. Lineage: Eukaryota; Metazoa; Chordata; Lepidosauria; Squamata; Sphaerodactylidae.